This is a long non-coding RNA of Hipposideros armiger (great roundleaf bat), 948 nucleotides long. RefSeq lists it as uncharacterized. The record is from RefSeq and is a predicted model, not a curated record. The transcript is spliced from 4 exons. Lineage: Eukaryota; Metazoa; Chordata; Mammalia; Chiroptera; Hipposideridae.
CCAGUUCUGUCGGCCUACCAGAGGAUUUGGCGGAGCAGGGCCGGGCGAUACUCAAGACUUGUCUGUGAAAACACCCGCAUCUUACCGGCACGUCCCAGGGCCUCCAUACUGUGCACUGACUAUAUCUGCAUUGCUAAUAAGGACCUCUAAGGAAUUAGACUAACCCAGUCUGAUUCACAUUUCGGUCAUGGUUAAGAAGCACAGCUUGUGUUAGAUCAGAGAUCAUGGAAGCAUCCUUAAGCAACACCCGUGCCCUGCAACAGGACUUCCGGAGACCAUACAGGAGACAACACUAAGGUGGCGCUAGUCCUCUCUCAUGAAACCUUUGGAACUAUUAAGGCUGAAGUGCCAUUUGAAGAAAAAAGAAGGCAAAGAAAUGAGCCAUAGGAAGCCGUGCCUCUGCUUAAGGCCGAUUUGUCAUUCAGCUUGGGGCUCUUAACCUGAUGGACCCUCUCAAGGCUCUGAAACCAGGAGGAAGCAGCAGCCCCGGGAGAGUCCGAGGAAUGGAGUCCUGCCAGCCUUCGGGUCAUUUUUCUCUCCCUGGUGGUGGCCUUGGAGCUGCAGGAGAGGGGAUGGGCAUUGCGCAGCCGCCGCCAGUGACAACCUGCUCUGCGAGGACCCCGUGGAACGUCAGCAUCUUCCCCAAAGAGAAGAAUCUGACAGACACAAGUCCACUCCCAGCUUGAGGGCCAUGUGACUUGGCACACACCGCUGCUGGGAACUGCCCGGGCAAGGUAGGGGGUGGGAGGGACACUGGGUGUGGCGAAACCCAGCCGACCUUGAUAAACUUGCUGUGACAGUGAGAUCAAAGGGCUGAGGUUAUCUGAAGACUCCCCCCAGUGCCGGUAACAAAUGUGAAGCUAAAUAAACUUUUCUAAACUUGGACUGAUUUUUAAAAAGAGAACAAAUUUUGACCAACUGUGUUAGAAGACUGAUUUAUCUUUAUAC